AUGCUUGCAUCCACCACAGUGAAUAUUAACUUUGAGUGAAAGAAUUUGGAAACCGGACGGCAAAAACGAAGUAACUGUUGGAAUUUGUGGAUUUCGGUUAGUUCAGAAACUUAACAAGAGAAGCAACUAAAAAAAUACAAUUGAUUUCUCUUCAUGUUACAAAGAAUGAAAAGAUUUGUUGAAAUCGAAUUUGACAACUAUGACAGCUUAUUAAAGGUAGCAAUCACCUCCAAUUAUUUCCUGGUCAAAUCACACACUAUAAAGUUUAAAGUUAUCGUGUGUUGUAGUUUGGAAAGAUGACCGAAUAGAGAUCUGAAUAACAAACUGUGGAGAACUUGUUUGUGUCGGGUUCUUCUGCUAGUUACUUGAUCAACAGACUGAUCGGUAACGUUACUCUACUUGUGCUCCGAUUUAAGCGGCGUGUUCCGAUCAACGUUGUUUAAAGGUGAUGAAGAGUUUAGAAACCCUAGAAUGAUGGUGCUUUUACGGGAAAAAACGUGAUAAUUGAAAAACAUCAAUCUAUACGGCCCGUAUACAAUUAUACGGCCCGUAUACAAUUAUACGGCCCGUAUACAUU
RNAcentral lists this long non-coding RNA (577 nucleotides) under Helianthus annuus (common sunflower). Lineage: Eukaryota; Viridiplantae; Streptophyta; Magnoliopsida; Asterales; Asteraceae. The record is from RNAcentral.